CGACUCUCGACAACGGAUAUCUCGGCUCUCGCAUCGAUGAAGAACGUAGCGAAAUGCGAUACUUGGUGUGAAUUGCAGAAUCCCGUGAACCAUCGAGUCUUUGAACGCAAGUUGCGCCCGAAGCCACUAGGCUGAGGGCACGCCUGCCUGGGUGUCACGCAUC
This 163-nucleotide ribosomal RNA is filed under the name Angelica czernaevia. RNAcentral describes it as "5.8S ribosomal RNA". It matches the Rfam family "5.8S ribosomal RNA". Rfam says of the family: 5.8S ribosomal RNA (5.8S rRNA) is a component of the large subunit of the eukaryotic ribosome. It is transcribed by RNA polymerase I as part of the 45S precursor that also contains 18S and 28S rRNA. Lineage: Eukaryota; Viridiplantae; Streptophyta; Magnoliopsida; Apiales; Apiaceae. The record is from RNAcentral.